GUACACUCCUGCGGGAGGCAGCAGUGGGGAAUAUUGCACAAUGGGCGCAAGCCUGAUGCAGCCAUGCCGCGUGUAUGAAGAAGGCCUUCGGGUUGUAAAGUACUUUCAGCGGGGAGGAAGGCGAUAAGGUUAAUAACCUUGUUGAUUGACGUUACCCGCAGAAGAAGCACCGGCUAACUCCGUGCCAGCAGCCGCGGUAAUACGGAGGGUGCAAGCGUUAAUCGGAAUUACUGGGCGUAAAGCGCACGCAGGCGGUCUGUCAAGUCGGAUGUGAAAUCCCCGGGCUCAACCUGGGAACUGCAUUCGAAACUGGCAGGCUAGAGUCUUGUAGAGGGGGGUAGAAUUCCAGGUGUAGCGGUGAAAUGCGUAGAGAUCUGGAGGAAUACCGGUGGCGAAGGCGGCCCCCUGGACAAAGACUGACGCUCAGGUGCGAAAGCGUGGGGAGCAAACAGGAUUAGAAACCCGGGUAGUCCCA
This 475-nucleotide ribosomal RNA is filed under the name uncultured organism. RNAcentral describes it as "partial 16S ribosomal RNA". It matches the Rfam family "Bacterial small subunit ribosomal RNA", at positions 331 to 797 of the family's 1533-position model. The record is from RNAcentral.